Molecule: ribosomal RNA, 253 nt
Filed under: uncultured bacterium
Lineage: Bacteria
Description: partial 16S ribosomal RNA
Rfam family: Bacterial small subunit ribosomal RNA
Source: RNAcentral
UACGGAGGGUGCGAGCGUUGUUCGGAAUCACUGGGCGUAAAGCGCGUGUAGGCGGCCCACUAAGUCUGAUGUGAAAGCCCGGGGCUCACCCCCGGAAGUGCAUUGGAAACUGGUGGACUCGAGUCCCGGAGAGGAGAGUGGAAUUCCUGGUGUAGCGGUGAAAUGCGUAGAUAUCACUUGGAACGCCAAUGGUGAAAACAGACUGCUGGGGGUGUGCUGACGCUGAGACACGAAAGCCAGGGGAGCAAACGGG